GACGAACGCUGGCGGCGUGCCUAAUACAUGCCAGUAGAACGCUGAAGGAGGAGCUUGCUUCUCUGGAUGAGUUGCGAACGGGUGAGUAACGCGUAGGUAACCUGCCUGGUAGCGGGGGAUAACUAUUGGAAACGAUAGCUAAUACCGCAUAAUAUUGACUAUUGCAUGAUAGUCAGUUGAAAGGUGCAACUGCACCACUACCAGAUGGACCUGCGUUGUAUUAGCUAGUUGGUGGGGUAACGGCUCACCAAGGCGACGAUACAUAGCCGACCUGAGAGGGUGAUCGGCCACACUGGGACUGAGACACGGCCCAGACUCCUACGGGAGGCAGCAGUAGGGAAUCUUCGGCAAUGGACGGAAGUCUGACCGAGCAACGCCGCGUGAGUGAAGAAGGUUUUCGGAUCGUAAAGCUCUGUUGUAAGAGAAGAACGAGUGUGAGAGUGGAAAGCUCACGCUGUGACGGUAUCUUACCAGAAAGGGACGGCUAACUACGUG
Molecule: ribosomal RNA, 495 nt
Filed under: uncultured bacterium
Lineage: Bacteria
Description: partial 16S ribosomal RNA
Rfam family: Bacterial small subunit ribosomal RNA
Source: RNAcentral